UACGUAGGAUGCAAGCGUUGUCCGGAAUCACUGGGCGUAAAGGGUCCGUAGGCGGUUUGUUAAGUCUCCUGUGAAAGUUCAGGGCUCAACCCUGAAAUGUCGGGGGAUACUGGCAAACUUGAGACUGUCAGAGGCAGGUGGAAUUCCCGGUGUAGUGGUGAAAUGCGUAGAUAUCGGGAGGAACACCAGUGGCGAAAGCGGCCUGCUGGGACAGUUCUGACGCUGAGGGACGAAAGCGUGGGUAGCAAACCGG
RNAcentral lists this ribosomal RNA (253 nucleotides) under uncultured bacterium. RNAcentral describes it as "partial 16S ribosomal RNA". It matches the Rfam family "Bacterial small subunit ribosomal RNA", at positions 524 to 776 of the family's 1533-position model. The record is from RNAcentral.